Molecule: long non-coding RNA, 329 nt
Organism: Musca domestica (house fly)
Lineage: Eukaryota; Metazoa; Arthropoda; Insecta; Diptera; Muscidae
Exons: 2
Source: RefSeq, a predicted model, not a curated record
UCAAGCUGCAAGACAGCGAUGCAUUUAUGGUCAAUUCGAUUGUAGAGCUCGAGACAGCAAGAUGUUUUCCGGCAGCAAUAUUCUCCGUUUUAUCUAUCAGCUAUUUGUGACAAUUCUUCUGCUAAAUAUUGCAAGCGGCUACAUUAACAUCCAGCAACGGGGAGGAUGUUGCCAAAAUCAAAUGACAAAGUUCCCGAGUUCAAUCAAUCGCCGAUGUCCUUGGAAGACUUAAUUAAUAAUAAUGUUAUGGGAAAUCGUCGCAGAAAAUAUUAAAUGGAGUUUUUUUUCGAAUUUUGUAUAAGUAAAGAAAAAUAUAGAAUAUAACUGGA